GGAGCAGCUCCAUGCCACUGAAUGGGGCUUUUUUUUGCUUCUUUGAGACUUAAAGAGUUGUUGCCUGAAGGAUGCUUUGCCUCAAGGAUGCUUUGCCUUGGGCUUCCUUCAAGCAGAUCUGCCACCAAAACGGGACAAGAACGGGUUGACCGGAGCCAGUGUCGUGCUGGAAAGUGCUCCAAAGCAGGACAGGGAGACGCCUGCUAAGCUCCUGCACUGGCACUUCUCCUCGGUCUCGCACCGGCUGUGACACUYGUGGGACACGGACCUGCAGCGUGACAGAGGACACUGUGACCCAGCACACAGCGGUGACAGGAGGCACGGUCCUCUCCUUGCUGUUCCCUUCAUCUUUGCUUGGCCCGUGUCGGGACCGCGAGCCGGAGGCUGCACGGGGCAGGAGCCAGCUGGUGCCAUAUGGCCGUGUGACCUGCCAAGCACAGAGCGGCGCGGCGGCCCGAUGAGGGCUGCACGGCCCGGCGCCCCUCUGGGCACUUGGGUGCUCCCUCUGCAAUCUCCCCCCUUCGCCAUGUUCCUCUUCUUGGGGCUGCUUUUCCAGCUGCACAAUGUUGGGACGGUGUUGGAGGACUUGGGAGGGACGGGAUU
Molecule: long non-coding RNA, 603 nt
Organism: Nothoprocta perdicaria
Lineage: Eukaryota; Metazoa; Chordata; Aves; Tinamiformes; Tinamidae
Exons: 4
Source: RefSeq, a predicted model, not a curated record